UCUAAAUGAAAAAGUUGACGGUAUAUCAGACGCUAUCAAUAUGCCACUCUCAAGCUCAUAAUUUACUAGUGCAAUGUAUUUACAAGCUAUAGAACAAUAGAAGAAAUGUCCCUUUUGACAUGUUCUUGUGCUUAUGCUAAUACUAACAGGUUAUAAGGCUCAAUCAAACUCCCCGUCUCCUAUCGCGAAUUUUCAGCAUUACGCUUCAAUCUUCACUCUCUGCAUUCGGAAAUUGAAACCAGCAUCAUCGAUAAAGAGUAGUACAUAAUUGCGCGUUCAUUCUACACCAGCCUUCUGCUUCAACAUGGCAAUGAAGCUAUCUCUGUCUUCUGGUGUCAUUCCUGCUGUUGAGCAAUCUCCAACUCCCCAUUCAGCUCCGCGUAAACAAUACUUGUCUUCAAUUGACCUUUUGUUCUUCUCUUUAUUUUGCUUGGAUUUUUCGAGUAACUGUUUAAGCAAAGGCGACUCUUUGAAUUUUUCAUCGAGUUCUGCAUACUUUUUCUGAUUAUUAUCGUUCCAACGAUUAAGAAACUCAAUCUUAGGUAAUUCAGGGCCAGGAACUGAUUCUAUACCAGUAUAACCCGAAAGAAAUCCAGCAUUAGCAGGAGAGGACCAUAGAAGAACAGCAAGGCAAGCAGAAAGCGGAACGAAUGACUUGGGAGAUGAAUAAGAGAAAAGAUGAGGAGUUUUUCUAAGUGAAGAGAUUAGUACUGGUUUUCUUUGAAAGAUUGAUGGGAAUGGUUGAAGAGCAGUUGAAGGGAAUUGCUUCAUUGGAGAAAUAGGAGUAGCCAUAGUCAUAAUUCUGCUUUUGCUCUGCUUCCACUAGACCAAAAAGUAGU
Molecule: unclassified non-coding RNA, 839 nt
Filed under: Hevea brasiliensis (rubber tree)
Lineage: Eukaryota; Viridiplantae; Streptophyta; Magnoliopsida; Malpighiales; Euphorbiaceae
Source: RNAcentral